CAGCAUUGUAUGCACGUGUACCAUCUUCGCUUGCGACUGGAACGCCUCUCGCGGAUUAAAGAGCGGUCGACUUCAAGUCGGGGCAAGCGUAUGUGGAUUCGGCUUGCACCACAGAAUGGCCGCGCUCGCGUCGGGCCGCGUGAUCAGCCCAGCCGAGCUGACCCAUAGCUGUCUACAUUGUUCCUCUUUACAGCUCUGGCGGUGGCGGCGGUGGCCAGGCCGCUAAGGACGCUCUGGGCAACGACAUCAAGGCCGGGGAGUGGCUGAAGACCCACCUGGCUGGUGACCGCUCGCUGUCCCAGGGCCUGAAGGUGGGAAAAUAGGAACGUAUAAUUCAGCUGCAGUUGAGUGUGCCGCGGGAGCGCACAGUCGAGGUCGACCAUUCCUCUCACGCGGUUCGCUUUCUUUACUUGCAGGGUGACCCCACCUACCUGAUCGUCACCGCCGACAGCACCAUCGAGAAGUACGGCCUGAACGCCGUGUGCACUCACCUGGGCUGCGUCGUGCCUUGGGUGGCGGUGAGUCGCGCCAAACGAUGAACCAACUUUACUGCGGCGAGCGGUCGGCGAACCCUGAAAGUCUGGACUAGACGUAUUGUUGAUGUCAACUGUAAUUAUGUCUCUGCCCUGAGUCAUUUGUGUGCUUGACACUCGCAGGCCGAGAACAAGUUCAAGUGCCCUUGCCACGGCUCUCAGUACAACGCUGAGGGCAAGGUGGUCCGUGGCCCCG
RNAcentral lists this long non-coding RNA (729 nucleotides) under Chlamydomonas reinhardtii. RNAcentral's name for it is "long non-coding RNA (CREI_LNC000937)". Lineage: Eukaryota; Viridiplantae; Chlorophyta; Chlorophyceae; Chlamydomonadales; Chlamydomonadaceae. The record is from RNAcentral.